RNAcentral lists this ribosomal RNA (440 nucleotides) under uncultured bacterium. RNAcentral describes it as "partial 16S ribosomal RNA". It matches the Rfam family "Bacterial small subunit ribosomal RNA", at positions 338 to 795 of the family's 1533-position model. The record is from RNAcentral.
CCUACGGGUGGCAGCAGUGGGGAAUAUUGCUCAAUGGGCGAAACCCUGAAGCAGCGACGCCGCGUGAGGGAUGAAGGUUUUCGGAUUGUAAACUCCUUUUGUUAGGGAAGAAAAUGCCGUUAGCUAACGAGUAAUCAAUGGCUAACUCCUUGCCAGCAGCCGCGGUAAUACGGAGGGUGCAAGCGUUACUCGGAAUCGCUGGGCGUAACGAGCGCGUAGGCGGGAUAGCAAGUCAGAGGGGAAAUCCUAGGGCUUAACCAGAGAACUGCCUUUGAAACUGUUAAUCUAGAGUGUGUGAGAGGUAGGUGGAAUUCCAGGUGUAGGGGUAAAAUCCGUAGAUAUCAAGAGGAACACCAAUGGCGAAGGCGACUUGCUAGAACAUAACUGACGCUGAUGCGCGAAAGCGUGGGGAGCAAACAGGAUUAGAUACCCGAGUAGUC